Cucurbita pepo subsp. pepo (vegetable marrow) is the source of this 364-nucleotide non-coding RNA. The record is from RefSeq and is a predicted model, not a curated record. Lineage: Eukaryota; Viridiplantae; Streptophyta; Magnoliopsida; Cucurbitales; Cucurbitaceae.
CAUUUCUUGCUUUUCAAGUCGCCAACCGUCUUCCAUAUUUCUUCCUCCUUUGGUUUUCGAUUUCGUCGCUGUUGAUUCUGAGAAUCGCGAUUCUCAGCCAUUUGAAACUGACUAACUGUGUGCUUGUAGCGAAAUUGAUUCCGCAUUUCAGCCUCGUUUGAGUGGCUUCAGCGUUAAUUUUGCAGAGCUUCUCCUCUUCAAGCUCGCGUCUCCAUUCCUUUACCAGAAAAGUUACUAGGCGCCAUAGCUUCUGCUCUCAAGGUGGACAAGGGAAAAGAACCCAUGCAAACUGAAGAAUAAAAAAGAAAGCUUAAGGUUCAAAGUAGGAGCAUCAUCUUGCAAGAAGAAAAUGAAAAUGAUAAAU